GUUGACGUAGCUGAGAUGGUUCAAGGUGCAUGAGAUUUUUGAGAGGUCGUGGGUUCGAAUCCCACUUUAACA
This 72-nucleotide transfer RNA is filed under the name Salix viminalis (osier). The record is from RNAcentral. Lineage: Eukaryota; Viridiplantae; Streptophyta; Magnoliopsida; Malpighiales; Salicaceae.